This 301-nucleotide ribosomal RNA is filed under the name uncultured bacterium. RNAcentral describes it as "partial 16S ribosomal RNA". It matches the Rfam family "Bacterial small subunit ribosomal RNA", at positions 509 to 807 of the family's 1533-position model. The record is from RNAcentral.
CAGCCGCCGCGGUAAUACGUAGGGUGCAAGCGUUAAUCGGAAUUACUACGCGUAAAGCGUGCGCAGGCGGUUAUAUAAGACAGAUGUGAAAUCCCCGGGCUCAACCUGGGAACUGCAUUUGUGACUGUAUAGCUAGAGUACGGCAGAGGGGGAUGGAAUUCCGCGUGUAGCAGUGAAAUGCGUAGAUAUGCGGAGGAACACCGAUGGCGAAGGCAAUCCCCUGGGCCUGUACUGACGCUCAUGCACGAAAGCGUGGGGAGCAAACAGGAUUAGAUACCCCAGUAGUCCCUGUCUCUUAUAC